GUCAGUUUAGCCAAUGGCCAGAAUGAUGGGAGUUGCAGCCCAACACCUCAAGACUCAAGGCUGAAGAAUACUGCCUACGGUAACCCAGUGGGUUGACAUGCGUAUAAAUGAAACAAUGGCAUUGUAUUUAGCUCCAUAAUUCUUGCAGCUGAAUAAUUUUGCUUCUACCAGUCUCUUCUUUGAAGCAUCAGAUUGGGAUAUCUCAAACAGCCACAAAAAACAAGACUGUUUUUUUAAAGCAGUGGUCUUGUUUCCAUAAGAUAAAUCAGACCAAUUUUUUACAUUCUUAUUGCUGCUCAAAGUCCCAUGAGGGAUGGCAGGAUGCACAACUCUUGGGGCAGAAAAAUGUGGGUUUGCGUGCAAACACAUACAUUAGAGUAAACUGACAAGUUUAGAGAAAGCCCGGUCUAUGAAAAAUAUUGAUUAAUUUGUUGCCCAAAAUAACUUGGUAAAAAUGCUAGGGUAGAGAGCUUUCUGCUCAGUGGAGACCUCCAGCCAAUUACUACUGAAAACAUUCAGGUGUAUUGGGCACACGUAGUAAAAGAACAAGCAGCACGCUGUCUCUACAGAGAAGAGAAAGUUCUUUUGCAGCAUCCAAGUAGGAGAAGUAUUAUGGUCUUGUUUUGGCAUGAAGUAAUUUCCUAAGUACCAGAACUUUAAUAUUAUAAAGUGGGAGCUGCAACAAAAUGUUGCAGUAUGCAGUGCUCCUAUUCCUAUUCAAGCCUUCAGCCAGCCAGCCAUACACUUUGGAAGGAACUGCAUUCCAUUCCUGUCCCUACUCAACAGCCUGCCAGCAUUCCAUAACCACAGUGCAUGCACAGUUCUUUUGGGGUCCCCACUUGGGUUUCCCCCUUUUCUGUGUGGGGAGAAUUCUUGUGAAUGGGUGCUGCUGUUUUGGCUAGAAAAGGAUCUGCGCUUGGAGAAUGAACUUGCCACAUCCGUGUAUAGGAUGAAAACGUGCAGUAUGAAUUGACAAUAAUUAGCUAUUUUCUGACCUCAUUUGAAGCUGCAUGAUAAUAUCGGCACUGAAACUGGAAUGGAAAUCUAGAGAAAGCAAGCUGUGAAUGUGGCCUUCUGUUUAUAGUUAAGCAUCUUUUUUGCUGAUGCGACAGAGUCUAUCAACAAAUUAUCACAGAGAACAUGAAAGGGCUUAGAAACUCUUUUGUAGCUUUUAAAAAGGGGGCUGGUGGAUAAUAAUUAGAUUACAAAUGGGCUUUUAAAGAGUUCUUGCCAAAGGCUUGUUAUGCUAAAUUGGUGGAACUGUUUUGUUAAUGCAAUAAGCAAAAUGUUGUUUUAUGUUACAAAUUAGGCACUGCCUUUUGAUAAUUUUCAAAUUAAACAAAUCUUCUGCCUAAUUCAUGAAAAUGGAAACAUUACUACUUCAGUCACAUAACCUCUGCCUAAUUCCUAAGAUUAGUGACACCUUUGCCUAAUUUGAGAUCUAAACAAAGCUUCCGUCAGUUUUGUAACAUUGAAUGGAGCAAAACUUCAGCUUGACUUAUAAAUCUGCCACUUCACUGCAUAAUUAAUUAAAUAAAUAAAUAAACAAAGUUUUAAAGGAAAUGGCAGUUUCAUCAAAACAUAAAGGUGAAGUGAUGUGGAAGAUCCAUGACUAUAAUUUUCCAUUGUUGUUGUUUUUUUAAAAAGGCACCCACACAAGAAAAUGAAUUGGACUGGGACUAAAGCAUGGGGAGUGAGGCUGUUAGCUCUUCCCCACUAGUGUUUUCCCAGUUAAAAUGCCCUUCCUUGAGCAGCUUCGUUUCCUAUGGGGAAAAUGUGAAGAUAUAAUAGCAAUUUCAGAGGCGAGUUGUUUUAACUGGGAAAACACCACAGGGUUGGAUUAGAAUGUCCCUCCCCAGAGCCACUGAUUCACAAUUUUAAUUUAAACAACUGAGGAUCCUAAUUAUGGAUCUUCAGAAUUAUGUCUAGUUUCAGUCAAAACUAGACAUUAGUUUGGCACCAGACUGCAAAUUUUAUCAGACAGCAACGUAUCAAUUUUUGAGCGUUUCAUAGGCAAUCUCACAAGUCAGACCGAGGCAUUGCUUAAUUUAUGAAUUAGAUAAAGAUGGCACCUAAUUUACAAAUUAGGCAGAAGCAUUUUUGCAUGGAAGCAUUCUGAUUUGAGUCUGAUUCUGCAAGUCCUCUACAAGUCUUGGUAGUUAAAGCCCCUGAACCAGAGGGUUCAUGGCAAAACAACCAUCAGUAACAGAUGAGUGCAUAGGAAAGCCUCAGGGAGCAGCCAGAAAAGCAGUCUGAUAAAAAAAAUAACAAGCUCCAGGAUGAACCAGGGCAAAGAUCAGGAGUGGCAGAGCAAAACUAGGAAGCAGAUACUAAAGAAUGGACUAUAUAGCUCAAGAUGGAAAGUACAGGCCAACUCUUGAGAGCCAAAGUCCUCUGCUUCAGGUCAUGCUGGUUCUGUCUACUUAGUGGCAGGCUGCAGAAGAAAAGGAAGCAGACAGAGGCAUUUUUCACAAACCAAGCUUUUCUCAUUCAUGAAACAACCACAUACCUCUAAGCUGCCCCAAGAGCCAGAUCAUCAGGGCUGUUACCAGCUAUCGUGCUAAAAAUCAGGUUAGGGUCUCUCACAGAAGGUACUUAGAGGAGAAAGGAACCUAAGAAUCUCCACGAGUAGAAUCUCUUGUCCUGGUGUCUCCUUAUUUCUGAGUGUCUGCGCUUGCUCUUCGGUGACUUCUUUAUAAUGAUUUCGCUGCCAACUACAUGCUCAAUACCCUUCCAGUUUCCUGACCCUCUGCUGCUCUCUUAAUGCACCCGUUUCCUGUUCUAAAUGGCACCAAGCCCCAAUGAGGCGAACAGGAGCAGAGUGGGAUCUGGUUUCCCAAAUGUCAGAUAAACAGCAAUAACACUGUUAGCUGGGAAAGAAGCAUGCUCUACAUACAACUAGCAAAGAGUAGGUAGGCUGUCAUGCAAAGGUCUCUAAUAUUAGCUUGAAAGUGCGCCAACACUUAAAAAAAAGUUCAUCUCAAAACCAAUUUCUUUGUGCCAUAAAGAGGAUCUGCUUAUCCUGGUUGUUGUGUUUUCCAUCUGAAUUUCAGACAUAUGGAAAACCACUCAGACACGGCAGCUUGAAUCCUGAAAUACAAUGCAUGGAGCAUUUUUUAAAUGCCUUGAAAAGAAGAUAGCUUUAAGAACUGUAGUAUUAAGCCAGAAGACAUUCUUAAAGUAAAGGAAAACAAGGGUGUGAUAUCCAAGGGCACAAUCUAAAUUACUCAUCACUUUGGUAUGGCUUUGGGGAGCAGCAGAAUAAUCGUAUCUGCAGACCUGAUUUUCAUGGUGGCUGCAGCAGAAAAGUGGGGAAGCACAAUUGGGCCUGGAUCAUGCCCAGUGCUGUCAUAUGAUGGCAGCAAGGCUGGCCUGGGAUUCAGCCUCCUUCCCCUUAAAUGCCUUGUUCUGGGGCUUUCUGUUGUACAAUGAUGCCUUGUAUAUACCUUGUAUACUUCCUUCCAGCAACUCCUGCAGCCAAGCUGGUGCCAAACGUAUUUCUCUGCUUUCCUUUGGACCACAUCAGCAAAGCUGAGAGGAGGGUGUUGUCUGGGCAACCCAUGAUCUCCAUACACACUGGCCAGGCUUGCAUUCUGGAGAGGUCACUUCAGUGCUGCUAAUGUAAUGGUUUGACUUCACCCGCAGAGGUGCACUCCAUUGUCUCUCGAGACAGAUGGAUGCCAACAGUAUGCUGGCCCCUGCUGGCAGCCAUACUACCUACAAGCCUCCUGUGUGCCCAUAUAACUGAUGGAAGGGGGAGAUCAGCACUGAUGGAGAUGCUGAUGGCAUCAAUCUGGUGGCAGCAGCUGGCAGGAGGCUGGCUAAGCCAGGAAAGCAGGGAAGAGGCACAACUCUGCCUAGCCAAGUUGCCUCAGCCAGGCAUAAGGGUAGUGGUGGAUUGCUUUGUCUAUCAUACUUAAGAGUAAACUCACUGAAAUCUGUAAGUUUUUGCAAUGAGCAGGAAUCUUAAACUAAAGUGAUGCAGGUAGGUUUUAUCAAAUAUCUGAAAUCAGUAGAUUCAAAAGUGAAACAUUCUAAAUCCUCUCAUAUCUAAGCAUUAAAGCUGGAGAAACUUUACCGAACUUUUGGUGAAAUAAUUUGAAAUAAAUGUUUGUGGAAUUUUAUCACCCAUAUUUCUAGUUUUGCCAUAUGAAUGAGUAGAACCAAAACUAAAUAGCUUGACUCCUUUGGCAAACAACGUGACAUGCAUCUGUAAGCCAACCACGUUUUAUAACAUAAAAAACCGACAAAUGGUUGUAAUAAAACGAUAAACAGCAAGUAUGUUCCUAACUUUGGAUAAGACAUUGUAACAGAAUAUUCACAAUUAAUUUCAACAGGUCUAAAUUUUUUGCUGACUCUGGAACCGGGAGAUUUGGUAGUGUCUGGCUCUUCAAGCUUUCGAUUUCUGAUGAAAUUCCUGCAGCAUUUAACAAAGUCUCAUAUUUUAAAGCAAAAUCCAAUAAUUUCACCUCACAUUAUUUAAAUAAAUAAAUGCUAUUUUUGUAAAAUAAUACUUAUAACAUAAAUAAGUAUUUUGGGGCCCCUUAAUUACGGCACCUGGAGCAGCCCCCUAACCCACUCACCAUUCCUUAUUCCAGCCCAGCAUAUGAAAGUCUUGUUAGAAUGCAAUAAAAAUCUUUAGACGUGUAGUUUUUUGUUUCAAAUUUUGCUCUGUGCGCUAAAGACACCCCUAAAGAUUAUGGAAGUUCCAGAAUUGGGGAUACUGGGGACACAUGAAUCUGUGCACAAACAUGAUAAUCUCUUGUGAUUCUCCCACACAUGAGACUUGCAUGCUUUCAAUAAGUGGCAUGGGAGGAAGCCAGGGAUCACACUAUAUAAAGUUAUAUCUGUGAAAAACCCUAAUACACAAAUCUGAGGAAUAUAUUCAGGUUAGUACUUUACUAUAUUAUAAUCUGACUGGAUCCUUUAUAACCCCUCCCCCCCAGCCCUGUUCAGGAAAAAUACUAUCAAGACAACCAAGUCUGUUGCCCUGAAUUUUGUGCUCUCAAAAUCCUGAAGUAGCCAAUACUGCUUCUUUAAAAGUAUGCUAGUUACUGUGUCAGCCUGUGUGCUUUGGCUUCUUAAAAAG
This is a non-coding RNA of Podarcis lilfordi (Lilford's wall lizard), 5089 nucleotides long. The record is from the annotation of a GenBank genome assembly. Lineage: Eukaryota; Metazoa; Chordata; Lepidosauria; Squamata; Lacertidae.